AUACAAAACAAUGCAAAAAACGAGAGAUUGUUUAUAAAAUAUUAAGUGACAUCAUCUUACACAUAUUUCAUUAACAACAAAUUAUUAUUAGGUAUAUA
Molecule: long non-coding RNA, 98 nt
Organism: Octopus sinensis (East Asian common octopus)
Lineage: Eukaryota; Metazoa; Mollusca; Cephalopoda; Octopoda; Octopodidae
Exons: 3
Source: RefSeq, a predicted model, not a curated record